GACGAACGCUGGCUGCGUGCUUAACACAUGCAAGUCGAACGGAAAGACCCUGCUUUUGUGGGGUGCUCGAGUGGCGAACGGGUGAGUAACACGUGAGUAACCUGCCCUUGACUUUGGGAUAACUUCAGGAAACUGGGGCUAAUACCGGAUAGGAGCUCCUGCUGCAUGGUGGGGGUUGGAAAGUGUCGGCGGUUGGGGAUGGACUCGCGGGUUAUCAGCUUGUUGGGGGGGUAGUGGCUUACCAAGGGUUUGACGGGUAGCCGGCCUGAGAGGGUGACCGGCCACCUUGGGACUGAGAUACGGACCAGUAUCCUACGGGCGGCAGCAGUGGGGAAUAUUGCACAAUGGGCGGAAGCCUGAUGCAGCAACGCCGCGUGCGGGAUGACGGCCUUCGGGUUGUAAACCGCUUUCGCCUGUGACGAAGCGUGAGUGACGGUAAUGGGUAAAGAAGCAACGGCUAACUACGUG
This 468-nucleotide ribosomal RNA is filed under the name uncultured bacterium. Its description in RNAcentral is "partial 16S ribosomal RNA". It matches the Rfam family "Bacterial small subunit ribosomal RNA", at positions 28 to 507 of the family's 1533-position model. The record is from RNAcentral.